Non-coding RNA from Gossypium hirsutum (cotton), 132 nucleotides. The record is from Rfam. NCBI's taxonomy places the organism in Eukaryota, Viridiplantae, Streptophyta, Magnoliopsida, Malvales, Malvaceae.
UGUUAAAAUUUUAUUCUGUUUGUACCGUUAAAAAUUUGCGUGCCGGAUAGAAUAGCCAAACACGUCACGUGUAUGUCAUGCUGACAUACGGAGACAAGUUUUUAACAAUAGAAAUAGAUGGAAUUUUUAAUA